GUGCCAGCAGCCGCGGUAAGACGGAGGGGGCUAGCGUUGUUCGGAAUUACUGGGCGUAAAGAGCGCGUAGGCGGUUUAGUAAGUUGGAAGUGAAAGCCCAGGGCUUAACCCUGGAAAUGCUUACAAAACUACUAAACUAGAGUGUGGUAGGGGGUGAUGGAAUUCCUAGUGUAGAGGUGAAAUUCUUAGAUAUUAGGAGGAACACCGGUGGCGAAGGCGAUCACCUGGGCCAUAACUGACGCUGAGGCGCGAAAGCGUGGGGAGCAAACAGGAUUAGAUACCCUGGUAGUCC
RNAcentral lists this ribosomal RNA (292 nucleotides) under uncultured bacterium. RNAcentral's name for it is "partial 16S ribosomal RNA". It matches the Rfam family "Bacterial small subunit ribosomal RNA", at positions 505 to 796 of the family's 1533-position model. The record is from RNAcentral.